Molecule: RNA transcript, 1637 nt
Organism: Lycium barbarum (goji berry)
Lineage: Eukaryota; Viridiplantae; Streptophyta; Magnoliopsida; Solanales; Solanaceae
Exons: 3
Source: RefSeq, a predicted model, not a curated record
CAGGCUAACGGGAAGCUCCUGGAUUCACUCUUAUUAAAAGCACAAGGACCAUUUUGUUCAUUUUCUCUAUAUUUUAUGGUCUUCAACCUUAGAGGUGCAGUUGAAUUAAAAAAAAAAAAUACAGAGAGAGGGAGACUAGCAUAACAAUGAGUUUUCCAACGAAGAAAGCUCAACAGCUGAAAAAGCAAUUUCACAGUACAAGAAAGGGGGAUGAUGAAACCAAUGAGUCCUAUGUGAAAAGAUUGAAAUCCAUAGCAAAUUCUGUAGCAGCAAUCGACAGUCCAACGUCAAAUUCGGACAUGGUGUUGCAACUUGUUGCUGCUUUGCCUAGUGAAUACGAGGCCGUCAAGAAAAUAUUAUCAUCAAAGUGGCCUCUCCCCACUUUUGAAGAGGCUUGUUCCAUGGUGUACGUGCAGGAGGGCAUAUUAAUGCAGGUGAAAAUAAGUUUUCCAACAGAGGAAGAUGAUAAUUCUAACAAAAACGAAAAAAAUUCCAAUUCAGGAUGAUCAGAUCAAGCGAGUUCAACUAAGAAUGCAAUUUCACAGUACAAGAAAGGGGGAUGAUGAGACCAUUGAGUCCUAUGUGAAAAGAUUGAAGUCCAUAGCAGAUUCUCUAGCAGCAAUCGAUAGUCCAAUAUCAGAUUCGGACAUGGUGUUGCAACUUCUUGCUGGUUUGCCUAGUGAAUACGAGAUCCUCAAGAAUAUAAUAUAAUCAAGGUGGCCUCUCCCCACUUUUGAAGAUGCUUGUUCCAUGGUGUCCAUGCAGGAACGCAAAUUUUUGCAGGUCAUGGGUUUGAGCCGUGAAAACAACUUCUUACAGAAAUGCAGGUAAUGCUACGUACAAAAGAUCCUUGUGAUCAGGCUUUUUUUCAAAUCCCGCACAUAGCAGAAGCUUCGUGCACCGAUUAGGGAUAAGGCGGUGUGUGUACGCACUUCCUUUCACUUACUCCACUACUUAUGUUGUUGUUGUUAUUUGUUUCUUAAUUAACUUUUUAAGCAUUUAAUAAAAAUAAAUUCAAUAUUAUUCUAACAUAUUAAAUAAAAAUAUUGUUUUAUUUAAACAUAUUUUAACAAGAGUUUUUUCAUAGAUCAAUUUGAGCUAGGUAUCUAUCCAUUUUUAUAUAUUUUGAUUGAGCAUUUCAAUAUGAUCAAUCUAAACUUAAGCCAAGUGUGGUGGAUCAUAUUUUAAAGUGCUAAUUUUUUCACCCUUAAUUGCAGGAUCAUCACGAGGGGCAAAAUACAACUGAUCCUCGCGUUGGUGGUGAAGAGGAGUCGUCUUCUUUUUUUACCCUAGAGACGGGGGUUACUAUAGCGGGUAUAGUGGGUCCUUUACUGGGUGCAUUUGGUUUUGGGGGUGCAUCGAGGAUGAUUGCAAUUGGUUCAAUGGGUGCAGCCUGGCUGGAAAAUUUGGCAGACGCCAAAAAAAAGUGAUUAUUAAUGAUAUGAAUAGAGCUCUAGUCUUAUUGUCAACAACCCUUGUUUCCUUUUUGUGUUUGUUGUUUAAGUAAAUGGAUCUAACUAAUCUUCAUCUUCAAAAAGCUUGAAUUGUUACUACUAUUUAAAGUUUGACUUUGAGAUGUAUGACAUGCAACAUGAUGUGAAGUUGAAGUUGUAUUAUCAUAUUUUCGUUUUCCUUUA